This 402-nucleotide ribosomal RNA is filed under the name Escherichia coli. Its description in RNAcentral is "partial 23S ribosomal RNA". It matches the Rfam family "Bacterial large subunit ribosomal RNA", at positions 831 to 1230 of the family's 2925-position model. The record is from RNAcentral. Lineage: Bacteria; Pseudomonadati; Pseudomonadota; Gammaproteobacteria; Enterobacterales; Enterobacteriaceae.
AAUCAAACCGGGAGAUAGCUGGUUCUCCCCGAAAGCUAUUUAGGUAGCGCCUCGUGAAUUCAUCUCCGGGGGUAGAGCACUGUUUCGGCAAGGGGGUCAUCCCGACUUACCAACCCGAUGCAAACUGCGAAUACCGGAGAAUGUUAUCACGGGAGACACACGGCGGGUGCUAACGUCCGUCGUGAAGAGGGAAACAACCCAGACCGCCAGCUAAGGUCCCAAAGUCAUGGUUAAGUGGGAAACGAUGUGGGAAGGCCCAGACAGCCAGGAUGUUGGCUUAGAAGCAGCCAUCAUUUAAAGAAAGCGUAAUAGCUCACUGGUCGAGUCGGCCUGCGCGGAAGAUGUAACGGGGCUAAACCAUGCACCGAAGCUGCGGCAGCGACGCUUAUGCGUUGUUGGGUA